UAAUGGAGAGGCAGGCAGAGGGUGGAUUUGAUUAAAUUUAAAUCAUGAUUUAAAUCACUAGUCAGGAAGACUCGAUUUAAUCAUGGAUUUCUACAUAAAAGUGCAUUCUUGUUGGUUGUUAUAACCUCAAUACAUAUUCUUCAUAACUCAGAGGCAGAUGUAGGUUUCAUUUUUAGAAGGUACACACUAUAAAUUUAAGUGAUUUAUUUUGAAAACUUUUCAAAUUAGUUUUACAGCUAUAUCAGAAAAUGAAUGAUUGUUUGG
Chelonia mydas (Green sea turtle) is the source of this 264-nucleotide long non-coding RNA. RefSeq lists it as uncharacterized. NCBI's taxonomy places the organism in Eukaryota, Metazoa, Chordata, Testudines, Cheloniidae. The record is from RefSeq and is a predicted model, not a curated record. The transcript has 3 exons.